This is a non-coding RNA of Pelobates cultripes (western spadefoot toad), 691 nucleotides long. Lineage: Eukaryota; Metazoa; Chordata; Amphibia; Anura; Pelobatidae. The record is from the annotation of a GenBank genome assembly.
GGCUUAACUGCAGUGCUGGGAUCCACCCUUACAUAAUGUUGAUGAUCAUAUUCCAGUUUUUCCACUAAACUUGGGAAAUGUAACCUCUGGCUCACCAGCUGUUGUAGACCUUGUUUCCCUUGAUACUCUGGCAGUUAUAUAACACAGAGAACCCCAUUAUUUGAGGACUAUGCUGCCCAUGCUGCUUAGCCAGAAAUUAUAACAGCUGUUAUGGUUUAGGAUUCCCAGGAUAAUAUAGCUAAUUAUCCUGGGAAAGCUAAUCCAUAACUUUUUAACUGGAAUUGCAAAAGGCUGGCCAUCAAUGUCUGAGCAUCUUAGAACCGUGACAGCCCCAGCCCUUCCUGUCUGAGCAUCAUGGGUGUAGGUCAGCCAUUACUGUCUGAGCAUAAGUACCAUAGUUAUUUGAGUUUAACUGCCAUAUACGCAGAGCAUACUGUAAGCAUGAGUGACUGAUACAUCACAAUCUGAGAAUUGAGUGAUGACUUGUGGAAGAUUUCACUCACUGUGGAUCACGUGAGCAUGACUGCCCUCGUACUCCCUGGCUGAGCUUGAUGGGCAUAUUACAGCCUAAGUCCAUGUGUCUGAGCAUCAUGGGAGCAUGGCAGCCCUAGUCCUUGUUCGUCUGAGCACAUGAGAGCAUGGCAGACCUAGUCCUUGCUGUCUGAGCAUUAUGAGAUCAUGACAGUCCUAG